AACGAACGCUGGCGGCAUGCCUAACACAUGCAAGUCGAACGAGACCUUCGGGUCUAGUGGCGCACGGGUGCGUAACGCGUGGGAACCUGCCCUUAGGUUCGGAAUAACUCCCUGAAAGGGGUGCUAAUACCGGAUAAUGUCUUCGGACCAAAGAUUUAUCGCCUUUGGAUGGGCCCGCGUUGGAUUAGCUAGUUGGUAGGGUAAAAGCCUACCAAGGCGACGAUCCAUAGCUGGUCUGAGAGGAUGAUCAGCCACACUGGGACUGAGACACGGCCCAGACUCCUACGGGAGGCAGGAGUGGGGAAUAUUGGACACUAGGCGAAAGCCUGAUCCAGCAAGGCCGCGUGAGUGAUGAAGGCCUUAGGGUUGUAAAGCUCUUUUACCCAGGAUGAUAAUGACAGUACCGGGAGAAUAAGCUCCGGCUAACACCGU
This 432-nucleotide ribosomal RNA is filed under the name uncultured bacterium. RNAcentral describes it as "partial 16S ribosomal RNA". It matches the Rfam family "Bacterial small subunit ribosomal RNA", at positions 29 to 506 of the family's 1533-position model. The record is from RNAcentral.